ACGGGAGGCAGCAGUGAGGAAUAUUGGUCAAUGGGCGGAAGCCUGAACCAGCCAAGUCGCGUGAAGGAUGAAGGUAUUAUGUAUUGUAAACUUCUUUAGUCGCAGAGAAAUAAGGAGGUCGAGACCUCUGAUGCUAGUAUGCGAAGAAUAAGGAUCGGCUAACUCCGUGCCAGCAGCCGCGGUAAUACGGAGGAUCCGAGCGUUAUCCGGAUUUAUUGGGUUUAAAGGGUGCGCAGGCGGCUUUUUAAGUCAGUGGUCAAAUCGCGGGGCUCACCCCCAUCCCGCCAUUGAUACUGGAGAGCUUGAUUGCGGUCGAGGUUGGCGGAAUUCGUCGUGUAGCGGUGAAAUGCAUAGAUAUGACGAAGAACACCGAUUGCGUAGGCAGCUGACCAGGCCGUAAAUGACGCUCAUGCACGAAAGUGCGGGGAUCGAACAGGAUUAGAUACCCUGGUA
RNAcentral lists this ribosomal RNA (453 nucleotides) under uncultured Porphyromonadaceae bacterium. RNAcentral's name for it is "bacterial SSU rRNA". It matches the Rfam family "Bacterial small subunit ribosomal RNA", at positions 341 to 792 of the family's 1533-position model. The record is from RNAcentral. Lineage: Bacteria; Pseudomonadati; Bacteroidota; Bacteroidia; Bacteroidales; Porphyromonadaceae.